Molecule: long non-coding RNA, 326 nt
Organism: Folsomia candida
Lineage: Eukaryota; Metazoa; Arthropoda; Collembola; Entomobryomorpha; Isotomidae
Exons: 3
Source: RefSeq, a predicted model, not a curated record
UUGGCGUUCCCUUCCUUUGGUUAAUUUUCCAUCCAGAAUUUCAGUCCUUUCGGGCAACCCAUAUUUUUCCUUGGCUUUUCAAAAAUAAAUCCAUCGAAAUUAUAAAUGUCACCCCCACCAGAAAGAUGCGACACUCUUCCUACUCUGCGCCAAAUGUCGCAAGAAGCAUGGGACAUCGUGUCGACAAGGUUGCGCGACGACCACAUGACACGACGGCUAAGAGACGUUUUCGAAACGUAUUACCUCGACUUUACCGUUAAAGAAGCGUCACUCAUGGCGAAGCGAUAUUAUUACGCGAUCCUCCGAGUGUCAGAGGCGGGAGAGGA